This 70-nucleotide transfer RNA is filed under the name Haplosymploce aurantiaca. RNAcentral describes it as "tRNA-Cys". The record is from RNAcentral. Lineage: Eukaryota; Metazoa; Arthropoda; Insecta; Blattodea; Blattellidae.
GGCUUUAUAUUCAUUUAAUGAUAAUAGAAUGCAAUUCUGUAGGAGUAGUUUAAGUUUGCUGCUAAGGCUU